AUGAAAGCCAAACGACCAAAAUCCAGGAAGAGUGCUCAGUUCGUGGAUUUUCUCAUUUGCUUUCGUAGAUAUGAGAGAUUGUGUUGCUCAGGUGUUCAAGCUGGCACUGAGUGUAACCCCCAUGGUGGCAAGCUCCCCUGCUCCUUUCAGGUGUUUUGCUGGUGGGAUCAUCCAUGUUGCAGGAGACUCUCUGAGCCCCAGCAAGGGAGAAGUGAUGGGAGCACUUGCACCGUUUACCUGUGCCUCAGAGCAGCCACAGCAAGGGACCAGGACAGGCUGAUGCACCAAGGACACAUUGACUUGCUCACCUCCUGCACUGUUGGAAUUAGUUUUGCAGUUAAUAUACGCACUGAUGUCAAAUAA
This 363-nucleotide long non-coding RNA is filed under the name Anas platyrhynchos platyrhynchos (common mallard). RNAcentral's name for it is "lncRNA (ENSAPLG00000020720.1)". Lineage: Eukaryota; Metazoa; Chordata; Aves; Anseriformes; Anatidae. The record is from RNAcentral.